AUGAUAAGGAGGUUCUUCUCUCUGUCAUGAAAUCCAUAGAUUACUAUUAAUGAAGACAUAACGCGUCAACGAUAAACAUUUUACUAGGAAAAUUAUAUGCAUUGAACCCAAAGACUAGAUAGAAAAAAAGGAACAUAAAAGUAAUGCACGCCAAACAGCAUUCACUGUUCAGUCAUCAAUGGGAUGGAUCUAUAUUGAAGUGACAAUUACGUCAUGGGCAAAAAUAUGGUAAUUUUUACCCAUCAUCCCUCAACCUUGAAUGUAUUUCACUUUCAUCCCUCAUCUUCAUUUUGUUACCACAAGAUCUCUAAACUUUGAAAAUGUUACACUAAAAUCCCUGAUGCUAAAACCUAGCCAGUUUUAUGGCAAGAUGCUUGCAUGGCAGUUCCACACCGUUAAAAAAUAAAAUAAAAAGAAAUUACCAUCAUAACUCCUCUGCCACAAUUUCUUAUUGUAGACCAGACUUCUUUUCCUUCGUCCUUACUCGUCUUCGUCCACCUACAACACCUUUCACUGGCUCAUUCAUACUUGGUGUUUCUUUAUUUUUUAUUUUAUUUUUUACACAUGGCACUACCAUGUAUGCGUCUUACCAAAGAUUGACCAGAUUAUGGUGAGAGGAUUUUAGUGUAACAUUUUAAAAGUUAAGGGAUUUUGUGGUAAGAAAAUGAAGAUGAGGGACGGAAGUGAAACACUCGUCAAAGUUGAGGGACGGCUAGUAAAAAUUACUCAACAAAAAUAUUGAAUUUAAACUUUAACAUAAGAAGUCAUUCUGUUAAAGUGUAAUCAGCAUUUCUAGGCAAAGAGAAUACAAGGAUCCUCUUUACUGAUUUAAUUACAUAGGAUAAUCACAACAUGUAUGCAAGGACCUCCAUUCUAACAAAAAUAACUUCAAAAAGCUAUGCAACAGAAUUCAACCACAUUUAUAUUAAUCCAUACCUGAAAACUAUUUGCAUAAUCUGG
RNAcentral lists this unclassified non-coding RNA (960 nucleotides) under Hevea brasiliensis (rubber tree). The record is from RNAcentral. Lineage: Eukaryota; Viridiplantae; Streptophyta; Magnoliopsida; Malpighiales; Euphorbiaceae.